Ixodes scapularis (black-legged tick) is the source of this 82-nucleotide non-coding RNA. The record is from Rfam. NCBI's taxonomy places the organism in Eukaryota, Metazoa, Arthropoda, Arachnida, Ixodida, Ixodidae.
GCAGUCGUGACCGAGUGGUUAAGGCGAUGGAAUAGAAAUCCAUCGGGGUCUCCCCGCACAGGUUCGGAUCCUGUCGACUGCG